AGUGAACGCUGGCGGUAGGCCUAACACAUGCAAGUCGAACGGCAGCACAGUAAGAGCUUGCUCUUACGGGUGGCGAGUGGCGGACGGGUGAGGAAUACAUCGGAAUCUACUUUUUCGUGGGGGAUAACGUAGGGAAACUUACGCUAAUACCGCAUACGACCUACGGGUGAAAGCAGGGGAUCUUCGGACCUUGCGCGAUUGAAUGAGCCGAUGUCGGAUUAGCUAGUUGGCGGGGUAAAGGCCCACCAAGGCGACGAUCCGUAGCUGGUCUGAGAGGAUGAUCAGCCACACUGGAACUGAGACACGGUCCAGGCUCCUACGGGAGGCAGCAGUGGGGAAUAUUGGACGAUGGGCGCAAGCCUGAUCCAGCCAUACCGCGUGGGUGAAGAAGGCCUUCGGGUUGUAAAGCCCUUUUGUUGGGAAAGAAAAGCAGCAGGUUAAUACCCCGCUGUUCUGACGGUACCCAAAGAAUAAGCACCGGCUAACUUCGUG
This 492-nucleotide ribosomal RNA is filed under the name uncultured bacterium. RNAcentral describes it as "partial 16S ribosomal RNA". It matches the Rfam family "Bacterial small subunit ribosomal RNA", at positions 29 to 507 of the family's 1533-position model. The record is from RNAcentral.